Long non-coding RNA from Phocoena sinus (vaquita), 3099 nucleotides. NCBI's taxonomy places the organism in Eukaryota, Metazoa, Chordata, Mammalia, Artiodactyla, Phocoenidae. The record is from Ensembl.
ACUCCAGCUUUGAUUUCCAUUUGCAUGGAAUAUCUUUUUCCGCCCCCUCACUUUCAGUCUGUAUGUGUCCCUAGGUCUGAAGUGGCUCUCUUGUAAACAGCAUAUAUAUGGGUCUUGUUUUUGUAUCCAUUCAGUGAGCCUUCGUCUUUUGGUUGGAGUGUUUAAUCCAUUCACAUUUAAGGUAAUUGUCGAUAUGUAUGAUCCUAUUACCUUUUUCUUAAUUGUUUUGGGGUUUUUUUUGUAGGUCUUUUUCUUCUCUUGUGUUUCCCACUUAGAGAAUUUCCUUUAGCAUUUGUUGUAGAACUGGUUUGGUGGUACUGAAUUCUCUUACCUUUUGCUUGUCUGUAAAGCUUUUGAUUUCUCUGUCGAAUCUGAAUGAGAUCCUUGCCGGGUAGAGUAAUCUUGGUUUUAGGUUCUUCCCUUUCAUCACUUUACAUAUAUGGUGCUACUCCCUUCUGGCUUGUAGAGUUUCUGCUGAGAAAUCAGCUAUUAACCAUAUGGGAGUUCCUUUAUAUGUUAUUUGUUGUUUUUCCUUUGUUGCUUUUAAUAAUUUUUCUGUGUCUUUAAUUCUUGUCAAUUUGAUUACUAUGUGUCUCGGUGUGUUUCUCCUUGGCAUUAUUCUGCCUGGCGCACUCUGCACUUCCUGGACUUGGAUGGCUAUUUCCUUUCCCAUGUUAGAGAAGUUUCCGACUAUAACGUCUUCAAAUUUUUUUCGGGUCCUUUCUUUCUCUCUUCUUCCUGUCUGGGCCCCUAUAAUGCGAAUGUUGGUGUGUUUAAUGUUGUCCGGAGGUCUCUUAGCUGUCUUCAUUUCUUUUCAUUCCUUUUUCUUUAUUCUGUUCCAUGGCAGUGAUUUCCACCAUUCUGUCUUCCCAGUCAUUUAUCCAUUGUUCUAUCUCAGUUACUCUGCUAUUCAUUCCUUCUAGUGUAUUUUUCAUUUUAUUUAUUGUAUUGUUCAUCUGUUUGUUUGUUCUGUAAUUUUUCUAGGUCUUUGUUAAACAUUUCUUUUUUUUGACAUUUUAAAUGUAGUUUUUUUAAAACAUCUUUAUUGGAGUAUAAUUGCUUUAUAAUGUUGUGUUAGUUUCUGCUGUAUAACAAAGUGAAUCAGCUAUACGUAUACAUAUAUCCCCAUAUCCCCUCCCUCUUGUGCCUUCCUCCCACCCUCCAUAUCCCACCCGUCUAGGUGGUCACAAAGUACCCUGUGCUAUGUGGCUGCUUCCCACUAGCUAUCUGUUUUACAUUUGGUAGUGUAUAUAUGUCAGUGCUAGUCUCUCACUUCGCCCCAGCUUACCCUUCCCCCUCCCCAUGUCCUCAAGUCCAUUCUCUAUGUCUGUGUCUUUAUUCUUCUCCUGCCCCUAGGUUCAUUAGAACCAAUUUUUUUUUUUUUUUAGAUUUCCAUAUAUAUAUGUUUGCGUAUGGUAUUUGUUUUCCUGUUAAACAUUUCUUGUAUCUUUUUGAUCUCUGCCUCCCUUCUUUAACCGAGGUCCUGGGCCAUCUUCAGUAUCAUUAUUCUGAACUCUUUUUUUGGAAGGUUGCCUAUCUCUACUUCAUUUAGUUGUUUUUCUGGUGUUUUAUCUUGUUCGUUUAUCUGGUACAUAGUCUUCUGCAUUUUCAUUUUGUCUAUCUUUCUCUGAAUGUGGUUUCUGUUCCACAGACUGCAGGAUUGUAGUUCUUUUUGCUUCUGCUGUCUGCCCUCUGGUGGAUGAGUCUAUUUAAGAGGCUUGUGCAAGCUUCCUGACGGGAGGGACUGGUGGUGAGUAGAGCUGUGUGUUGCUCUGCUGGGCAGAGCUCAGUAAAACUUUAAUUCACUUGUCUACUAAUGGGUGGGGCUGAGUUCCCUCCCUGUUGGUUGUCUGGCCUGAGGUGACCCAGCACUGGAGCCUACAGGCUCUUUGGUGGGGCUAAUGACGGACUCUGGGAGGGCUCAUGCCAAGGAGUACUUCCCAGAACUUCUGCUGCCAGUGUCCUUGUCCCCAUGGUGAGCCACAGCCACCCCCUGCUUCUGCAGGAGACCCUCCAACACUAACAGGUAGGUCUGGUUCAGUCUCCUAUGGGGUCACUGCUCCUUCCCCCAGGUCCCGACACACACACUACUUUGUGUGUGCCCUCCACGAGUGGAGUUUCUGUUUCCCCCAGUCCUAUUGCAGUCCUUCAAUCAAAUCCCACUAGCCUUCAAAGUCUGAUUCUCUGGGAAUUCCUCCUCCCGUUGCCAGACCCUGAGGUUGGGAAGCCUGACGUGGGGCUCAGAACCUUCACUCCAGUGGGUGGACUUCUGUGGUAAUAAGUGUUCUCCAGUCUGUGAGUCACCCACCCAGCAGUUAUGGGAUUUGAUUUUAUUGUGAUUGUGCCCCUCCUACCAUCUCAUCGUGGCUUCUCCUUUGUCUCUGGAUGUGGGUUAUCUUUUUGGUGAGUUCCAGUGUCUUCCUCCAAACUCUGGAACUCCACACUCCCAUACUCUGGAAGCUUCCCUUUGGAUGUGCUGCAUCUCCCCUUCCGUGCAGGUCCUUUUGGUUCAUUUUUGUAUGUUUAAGUCUUGGCCAUUUAUUUUGGCAUUAAACCUGAGCUGGGCACUCCUAAAAAUUAAAUACUUAUGUAUAAAUCUAACAAAAUAUGCACAAGAUCUCUAUGAGGAAAACCACAAAACUCUGAUGAACAAAAUCAAAGAUCAAAGAAGAACUAAAAAAAUUGUUCCAUGUUAAUGGUUGGAAAGACUCAAUAUUGUCAAAAUGUCAGUUCUUCCCAUUUUGAUGUAUAGAUUCAAUGCAAUCCCCAGCAAAAUCUCACCAAGUUGUGGAUGUCAACAAACUGAUUCUAAAGUUUACAUGUAGAGGCAAAACUCCCAGAAUAGCCAACAAUAUUGAAGAAGAACACAGUGGGAAGAUUGAUACUACCUGACUCCAUGACUUGCUAUAAAGCUCCAUCAGGGCAGUGUGGUGCUGAUUAAAGAACAGACAAAUUCAACAGUGCAACAGAAUAGAGAGCCCAGAAAUAGACUCACACAAAUACAGCUAACUGAUAUUUGACAAAGUAGCAAAGGCAAUAUAAUGGAGAAAAGAUAGUCUUUUCAACAAAUUGUGCUAGAAUAAGUGGACAUCCACAUGC